RNAcentral lists this ribosomal RNA (253 nucleotides) under uncultured bacterium. RNAcentral's name for it is "partial 16S ribosomal RNA". It matches the Rfam family "Bacterial small subunit ribosomal RNA", at positions 524 to 776 of the family's 1533-position model. The record is from RNAcentral.
GACGGAGGGUGCAAGCGUUGUUCGGAUUGACUGGGCGUAAAGGGCGUGUAGGCGGUCGGCCAAGUCUGAUGUGAAAGCCCGAGGCUCAGCCUCGGAAGUGCGUCGGAAACUGGUCGGCUGGAGCGCGAUAGAGGAGGGUGGAAUUCCUGGUGUAGCGGUGAAAUGCGUAGAUAUCAGGAGGAACACCGGCGGCGAAGGCGGCCCUCUGGAUCGGUGCUGACGCUCAUACGCGAAAGCGUGGGGAGCAAACAGG